CUGACGGUCUCGCUUGCUUUUGGGUACCUCGUAGCGCAGUGGGAGCGUGCUCGGUUCACCACCGGGAGGCCCAGGGUUCGAUUCCCGGGCGGGGAGAAACAGAUGGGCGCGUUUCGCACACCCGAUGCCCCUGUUAACCUAGCAGUAGAAGUAGGGACCUGGUGUCAGACAGGAGUGGUGCCCCUGCUGCCAGGGGAUGGUGCCAGGCUGCACAGUAAGUGUGGACUUAAAAGUGCUGGUCAAUCAUGUGAAAAGUCUCGUGGAGAUGCCCCUAGAGAAAUAAGAUAAAAGGGUAUAUUCAUCUAGCUCCCCCCGGUGUGGUGUAACCGGAGGAGAAUUCCUGCAGUAGACAGGACAGGCUUACCCCCACGAUGACUACGUUGCAUUUGACAGAAUUGCAGAAAUUGAUAGAAGUGCAAAAGUGUGAAUGCGGAAGCACGAAUGCAGUAGUUUGAAUGCAGUAAUUACGAAACCAGCACUGAAAAAGCAGCAACAAUGCCGGAGGCUGUGUGUGAAACCCAGGUGAUUCAAAAACAUCCAGCCUCAUUCUCAGUCUACGCUAGUAACUACAGGAGGAUAGACGUGUCCUUCUCCUCUGACUGGAAGUCAGGCCUUUGUCGUCCCACGGUGGUUGGACCAUCUUCAUAUAUCACGACACAUGUUCAAGCCUCCAGGAUUCAAGAUUGGCUGAGUCAUGUGACCAAGUCUCCCCGCUCACAAGUGCUGCCCUGACGCAAGAUAAAUAUGAGUAUUUUCGGAAACCAACAUUUACUUUAAUCUGAUUUUGGCCAGCUUCCCCCUAUUGGGAGAGAUAGGAUUGGUCCAUGUGCGGACAAACUGCAUUUA
Molecule: long non-coding RNA, 846 nt
Organism: Macrobrachium nipponense
Lineage: Eukaryota; Metazoa; Arthropoda; Malacostraca; Decapoda; Palaemonidae
Exons: 3
Source: RefSeq, a predicted model, not a curated record